AGGGACCCCCAUUGGCUUAUUUCAAAUUAAUCCAGUCAUCCUCGAUCGAGCAUGUCUACCAAAGUCAUCCUUCUUGGGAACCUUGGUGGCAAUCUUAGAAACAUAGCAUCUUCAAUCUUAAUUGGCAAAUGUGUGGCUACAAUGACAAUCCCACCAUUCGUAAUUUAUUGCAAAUCCAGCAAAGAAUACAAAUUUUACAAUAGCUCAGAGCUAUCGAAUUCGAGCUUCAAUUCCCGCCAAAAAAAGCAGGGCCUAACCUAAACCUCACCAGUGAAACUAGAAAACUUAUAGGACAUAUUUUUCUUUUGGAUGAACAAAGAUAAAAAUCAGGGACCUCCAUUGGCUUAUUUCAAAUUAAUCCAAUCAUCCUCGAUCGAGCAUGUCUACCAAAGUCAUCCUUCUUGGGAAUCUUGGUGGCAAUCUUAAAAACAUAGCAUCUUCAAUCUUAAUUGGCAAAUGUGUGGCUACAAUGACAAUCCCACCAUUCUUCCUGUGAUCAGCAAUGAUGUGUUCAAGCAACUUGACCCCUUCAUCAUCCAAUGCCACAGAAGGUUCAUCAAGCAACCAAAUUGGCC
Molecule: long non-coding RNA, 575 nt
Filed under: Olea europaea (common olive)
Lineage: Eukaryota; Viridiplantae; Streptophyta; Magnoliopsida; Lamiales; Oleaceae
Description: long non-coding RNA (OEUR_LNC004298)
Source: RNAcentral